Molecule: ribosomal RNA, 76 nt
Filed under: Faecalicatena faecalis
Lineage: Bacteria; Bacillati; Bacillota; Clostridia; Lachnospirales; Lachnospiraceae
Description: partial 16S ribosomal RNA
Rfam family: Bacterial small subunit ribosomal RNA
Source: RNAcentral
UUUAACGAGAGUUUGAUCCUGGCUCAGGAUGAACGCUGGCGGCGUGCUUAACACAUGCAAGUCGAGCGAAGCACUU